UACGGAGGGGACUAGCGUUGUUCGGAAUUACUGGGCGUAAAGCGCACGUAGGCGGAUUGUUAAGUCAGGGGUGAAAUCCCGAGGCUCAACCUCGGAACUGCCUUUGAUACUGGCAAUCUCGAGUCCGGAAGAGGUGAGUGGAACUGCGAGUGUAGAGGUGAAAUUCGUAGAUAUUCGCAAGAACACCAGUGGCGAAGGCGGCUCACUGGUCCGGUACUGACGCUGAGGUGCGAAAGCGUGGGGAGCAAACGGG
Molecule: ribosomal RNA, 253 nt
Filed under: uncultured bacterium
Lineage: Bacteria
Description: partial 16S ribosomal RNA
Rfam family: Bacterial small subunit ribosomal RNA
Source: RNAcentral